RNAcentral lists this microRNA precursor (98 nucleotides) under Eptesicus fuscus (big brown bat). Its description in RNAcentral is "microRNA efu-mir-9349 precursor". Lineage: Eukaryota; Metazoa; Chordata; Mammalia; Chiroptera; Vespertilionidae. The record is from miRBase by way of RNAcentral.
ACAGACAAUGUUGGCUGCUGAGCCUGAACAGGCUCUGGACGUGGAAGUGCCACCUCAGGGGGCUUUGGAGGGGCUCUAGUCUGCUGCAGGGCUGUGGC